Molecule: long non-coding RNA, 3209 nt
Organism: Astatotilapia calliptera (eastern happy)
Lineage: Eukaryota; Metazoa; Chordata; Actinopteri; Cichliformes; Cichlidae
Source: Ensembl
GAAAAAAAUGAAACAAUAAAACAGGCUUUGUUUGCUCCGUAGAACGGGAAACUCAUUCGGAUGUCAUUAACAGUACAGCACUGUGCCUGCAUUUUGUAGGCACAUUAUGCACACCGCGGCGACACGUUCACGGAAGGAGGCGGCGCACGGCUCAGACACAGACGCAAACAGUAGUACAAGCAAAAAUAGCAGUCCCACAGGGUCACUACUGCGCAUUGCACUAUAGUGCAGGCUGAUGGAUGGAAGUUUGAUUGGAGGUAGAUAUCAGUCACGAGAGGCUGAUCUAGUGUUGUGAUUCGAUAGUUCAGAUUUCCUACUUCCUUUUCAAAGACUGCAUCUGAAAGCGCCAAUCGCAUAAGCGAGAGAAGUUGUUUGUUUUCACGGGAAAUAACUUUCAGUACCUAAUUAAUUAGUCAGGCUUUAUACUGAGGCUCAGUCAUUUACAGUAAAUACCAGCGCCUUUGGACAAGUGUCGGAUCAUCAGCACUAACAGGAAAUGUCUACAUCUCUCUGCUGUUUCCUGUCUGUGGGCCUCCUCGUGUUUGUCUCUGCAGACCAGAAAACCAUCACAGCUGAGUCUGGACAGAAUGUCACUCUGCCAUGUCGAGCUCGAAACAACAGCAAGAUCCUAACUGUAGAGUGGCACCGACCUGACCUGCAGCCAAAAUAUGUUCUUUUAUUUCGGGAUGGAAACAUUGAUCCAGACAACCAGCAUCAAUCUUUUAAGAACCGGGUGGAUCUGCAGGACAGAAAGAUGAAGGAUGGAAACGUGUCUUUGAUUCUGAAGAAUGUGACGAUUAAUGACACUGGAACAUACGAGUGUCAAGUCUUCCUGGAAGAAACACGCUCCUUGCAGUCCAUCACAAACAUCCCCCUGAAAGUUGAUCCUCCAGGUCAGCGAGGAGGAUCUGUUGGACUGAAAGGCAGUGUGCUAGUUUUAGGUCUGCUUUUUGUUGUUGCUUUUGCUUUUGCAUUUUAGAGAAUAACAGCGACAGGAUCCGUACCAGCCUCCUGCUGAACCACAACAGCUUUGAAACCUCUCAGAACUUUUUCCAUCUGAACUCUGACCCAUGAAUUGAUGAUGAACAUCGAACACGUCCAGAGUUGCUUUGAUGUCAAAUUUCUCUGACUAUCAUCAAACCUGUUCAGACUGUGUCAGUCUCUGUGCUGUCUAUCAGAGACUCUGAACUACAGUGUUUGUGCAUCUUCAGUUUCCAUAGGAUUUGUUUACAAUAAGAAGGAAUUUUGUAAAUCAAUCAAUGAAUUCACUGUAUGAUACAAAAUCAUUAUCCUAAUAGUAUAGUAGCUUGUAGGUUUUCCGUUCCUCUCAGCCUCCAAUUUGUUGUUCUUUAUACAACCUGAAUUCCAGAAAAGUUGUGACGUUUCAUAAAUUUGAACAACACGAAAGCUAAGACUUUCACUUGAUAUGAGCCAAUAACUUAUUCACAACAGAACGUAAUUAACAUAAAUGUUUAAACUGAGAAAUUUUACAACUAUGAAUGCCAGUGUUCGGCAGCCUCGCCUCUGUCAGUGCGCCCCAGGGUGGCUGUGGCCACAAUGUAGCUGCCAUCACCAGUGUGUCAAUGUGUGUGUGAAUGGGUGGAUGACUGGAUAUGUAAAGCGCUUUGGGGUCCUUAGGGACUAGUAAAGCGCUAUAUAAAUACAGGCCAUUUACCAUCUGCUACCCUUCAGAUGAUGUUUAGUUCAGGGAAGGCCGUUUGUAUUUGCCAAUCUUUCACCUAUAGAGAACAUUACAGACGCAUAAUUAAUUAAAUGCACAAACUCUUCGGCAGAUGAAAACCUAUAUCAGGCAAGAAUUGGACUGAAUUUCCAAACCAAAACUCCAGAAAGUCAUAACUUCAAUGCUCAGACAUCUUCACACUGGUUUGAAAAGAAGAGGAGAUGCUACACAAACAGGCCCCUGUUUCAACUACUCUGAGACCUGGAGACCUGCAUCUGAUUUGAAAUGAGCUCAUUUAGUGCCUGAAAGUAUAAAAUCUCAGAUUAAACAUUCAUGUUAUCAAAGUCAGCUUUAUUGGCAAAAACCAUAUGCUCAGAGCACACAGAGGAAUUUCAAAUUGCAAUGCUCCCACAGCCCCCAGCCCUCGAGAUAAAAAGAUAGAAAUACAACAAUCUUAUGUACAACACAAUGCAAUAUAAUACAAAACAAUCUUACAUAAACAAAAGUGUCCAACACAAUCAGAGUGCUAUUCAUGUUCUGUUGUGAAUGAAAUAUUGGCUCAUGCUUUUUGAAAGUCUUAGUUUUCAUUUUGUUCAAAUUAAAUUACUUAAUUAAUUAUUAAAUUACUUCUCUGGAAUUCGAGUUGUAUUUUUGCUUUUUACAUUCAAAUAUGAAUAAACUUUUUUUUUUUUUAUCUGUAAUUGUAUGUUUUUAUAAGAAGUCAUAUUUUGCUAAUAAAGAACUGUUAAAGCUUUCUUCUUUUUUUUUCUCCGUUUCUGGUGAUUAGGGCAGGGUUGGUAUCUAUUUAGAGUGUUGUUUUAGCUCAGAGGUCGGCAACCUGCCCUCUUCUAGCUUAGGCUGCCGGAAGCUUUCGGGGUAAAAAAAAUAUAUAUAACUAAGACAAUUAUAAACAAACUAUUUUUAUAUUUAUUUAUUCUAUACGCAGUUUUAUUAAAUGUAUUAAUAAAACAAAAAUUGCAAAUAUCCACCCCGUCUACCACACCUCUCGCUCUCCCGUGUUUUCCCUGCCAGUGGCUAAUAAUGAGAGAGCUCCAGCAAGCUAACCGUGGAUUAAUCCGAAGAACAAAACUCUUGGGGGAAACUGGUGUGUAAUUCUCUGUUUGGACUGAUUCAUUUGCAUUCACCACUUAUUACGCUGACUUGCCCGAUGUUUAAUAACAUUUUUUUAAUUGCAGUGUCGCGAGACGUUUCCAAGUUUGCUGAAAAGCACCAAGCUGGAGACAAACAAAAAAAAGAGGGACUGGAACUGCUAAGCAGACCAAAUGCUUUUUUUAGACCUUGUUCAAUAGAAAUGCAAUUAUUGCUGCUAGUUUUCUGGUAGCCCAUGAGAUAGUAAGACACAACAUCCAUUCACCGAUGGAGACUACAUAAAAACAUAAACAAUUCAUAAAAUUAUCAGUGCACCUACUCUCACAUCAAAUCUCUUGCUGCAAGACAAAGUCUGGUGGCUGUCAAAGGGAGAGGGGCUAAAACAAUUUGCUGCGAGCGUGAAACAUGUGAAAACUUG